Molecule: ribosomal RNA, 521 nt
Filed under: uncultured bacterium
Lineage: Bacteria
Description: bacterial SSU rRNA
Rfam family: Bacterial small subunit ribosomal RNA
Source: RNAcentral
UUCUGGCUCAGAACGAACGCUGGCGGCGUGCUUAACACAUGCAAGUCGAACGCGAACGGGACUUCGGUCCCUAGUAGAGUGGCGCACGGGUGAGUAACGCGUAGAUAACCUAUCUUCCUGUCUGGAAUAAUACGCCGAAAGGAGUACUAAUACCGGAUACUCUUGCUUUUCAUAAGUAUAGCAAGCAAAGGUGGCCUCUGUAUAUGCUACUGCAGGGAGAGGGGUCUGCGUACCAUUAGCUAGUAGGUGGGGUAAGGGCCUACCUAGGCUACGAUGGUUAGCGGGUCUGAGAGGAUGAUCCGCCACACUGGCACUGGAACACGGGCCAGACUCCUACGGGAGGCAGCAGUGAGGAAUAUUGCGCAAUGGGGGCAACCCUGACGCAGCGACGCCGCGUGAGUGAGGAAGGCCUUCGGGUCGUAAAGCUCUGUCAAGAGGAAAGAAGUGCAUAGCGGUUAAUACCCGUUAUGUUUGACGGUACCUCUAAAGGAAGCACCGGCUAACUCCGUGCCAGCAGCGGC